CGGGACGUGGCGCAGCCUGGUAGCGCGCUACACUGGGGGUGUAGAGGUCGCAGGUUCAAAUCCUGUCGUCCCGAC
This 75-nucleotide transfer RNA is filed under the name Gimesia aquarii. RNAcentral describes it as "Planctomycetes bacterium V144 tRNA-Pro". It matches the Rfam family "tRNA". Rfam says of the family: Transfer RNA (tRNA) molecules are approximately 80 nucleotides in length. Their secondary structure includes four short double-helical elements and three loops (D, anti-codon, and T loops). Lineage: Bacteria; Pseudomonadati; Planctomycetota; Planctomycetia; Planctomycetales; Planctomycetaceae. RNAcentral also lists the same sequence under 3 other names. The record is from RNAcentral.